Molecule: long non-coding RNA, 848 nt
Organism: Helianthus annuus (common sunflower)
Lineage: Eukaryota; Viridiplantae; Streptophyta; Magnoliopsida; Asterales; Asteraceae
Exons: 4
Source: RefSeq, a predicted model, not a curated record
CCAAGCAGACCACGCACAGACAUAGGGGUCUGCAGCUUGUUUGUUUUUCAGAAGACAAUUCAUUAAAAAACCUUUUCAGCGGCUCUUCCUCAGGCAGAUCCUGUCUUACCUCUUCACAUACCUCUUCAACCUCUUCCAAGCACAAAACUCUCAAAACCCUAUUUCCCUUCUCCAUUCCUCAGCCGACCUCCCCUGCUCCUCCACCUCCAGCCGCCGCCACGCCGAGCACCACCGUCUCCAGUCGCCCCCACGCUGCCAUCCACCCCUCCAGCAGUCGUUCCACCUCUCCCCUCGUCGUCCAUCACCGGCAGUUCCGGCUUCAAGUUGCGGCUGCUGCUGUUUGUUCAUUACAACAUCGCACCCCAGUUCCGGCUGCUGCUCCCUCAUCCCCUGCUCGACCACUACCACACUAGUCGGUUUCGGUCAGCAGUGGGGUUUCUUUUGUUGAAAUGAAGCUCUCUGCAGUCGGUUUCGGUCAGCAGUUGCCCGAAGUUGGUAUUUGAUCAUAUUGUAAAACUGAUCAUAUUGGUUUUUUGAGUAUAUAAGUUUAUUUGGAGGUUAUUAGCCAACUUGCUACUUUGGAACCACUGAGUUUAUGCUCAGAUGACAUUACAACCACUGAGUUCUGAAGAGCAAAAAGAAGCAUUGCUUCCAGCGGAUUUGGGUGCUCCGAGCAAACAACCCACGAACUAUUUUUGUAAAACGUUGACUGCAAGUGACACUAGCACUCAUGGUGGAUUUUCGGUUGCUCGCCGCGCAGCUGAGAAAGUGUUUCCUCCACUUGUAAGCUAUAAUGCAUCCCACUAGGGGGUGUUUGGCAUUAUUUUGGGAAAGUGGGUGUUUGAUCA